RNAcentral lists this ribosomal RNA (433 nucleotides) under uncultured bacterium. RNAcentral describes it as "partial 16S ribosomal RNA". It matches the Rfam family "Bacterial small subunit ribosomal RNA", at positions 29 to 507 of the family's 1533-position model. The record is from RNAcentral.
AACGAACGCUGGCGGCAUGCCUAACACAUGCAAGUCGAACGAGACCUUCGGGUCUAGUGGCGCACGGGUGCGUAACGCGUGGGAACCUGCCCUUAGGUUUGGAAUCACUCCCCGAAAGGGGUGCUAAUACCGGAUAAUGUCUUCGUACCAAAGAUUUAUCGCCUUUGGAUGGGCCCGCGUUAGAUUAGCUAGUUGGUAGGGUAAAAGACUACCAAGACGACAAUCCAUAGCAACUCAGAGAGGAUGAUCAGCCACACUGGGAACAAGACACGGCCCAGACUCCUACGGGAAGCGGCAGUGGCGAGUAUAGGUAAAGGGACGAAAAUCUGCUCCAGCAACACCGCAUGAAUUGUGCAGGGCAUAGGGAAGUACAGCACUAUUACCAGGGAUGAUAAUGACAGUACCGGGAGAAUAAGCUCCGGCUAACUCCGUA